CCCGGACCCUCGCUGCCUCUGUGAGGGGCUCAUGGCACCCACCCUGCAGACGCUGCAGGUGCAGCGAGCUCGCACUGCAGACUGUGGCCACGGAGCUUGCUGGUGAGCCGAGGGGUUCGCCCUGGGCCUGUCUGACCCCAGCGCCUCCUGCUCUGGGGUCAAGAGGCUGCGUUUGCAGGGGCUGCCUGGGCGACGCCCCAUCGGGUCACUGGGGUGGCCCAGGGUCCUUCCUGCAUGGCUCGGCCUUCGCCGCGGCCUUCACCAUUGGCGGAGGUUGCACGCGUCUGGGCUCCAGCUAGACAGCUCAGGGUCCCUUAGGCCGGUGGCCUUGGAGCUCUGUGUCCCCACACCUGCCGGCUCCGAGGGCAGAGCAGAUGGCGCGAUGACAGAGGAGACCCUCAGACCACGCCCUGCCCCUCCUCCGCAGAGGAGCCAGAUGGCCACACGUGGGGCCCCCCAGCUCAGCGCCAGCACUCCCGGGACAGAGGGGGGCCUUGUGGCCCCCAGGAAGCUAGCCAGGCGGCUGAAGGCGCCACGAUCCAAGUGCAGUUGGGGCCCCGUCUUGCCGGGAGCCCCCCAGCGGAGCCCCAGGACACAGAGAGCUGGUGGUCAGGGGAGCAGAGGUGCAGAGCUGCAGCCGGGGAGAGCCCGGGCAGGGGUGGGGCGUGCAUGGGGCAUGGAGACGGGGAGACAGGUUCCGCCUGCACUUCCGGUCUGCUCACUGCUCCUGGGCGGGCAUGCAGGUCUCACCUGCCCUUUCUGACUCUGACCCACGAUCAGAGACACAGACGAGCGGGCUCAAGGUCUGGCUGUGAGGCCAGCAGAGGGCCCUGCCCUGAGCGUGGGCUGUCCCAGCCCUCUGGGAAUGGUGACCUCCCGUCUGCUCCCUGAGCCUGUGGGACUGGGACCAGACACCUCCAAAGACAAGCCCCCAGGAGCCCUGUGCUCUGAGGGCCACCUCCAAUGGCGGCCGAGGACUGGCUGGGGUGCUUUCCAAGCAUGUGCGGUGUUGGCCGAUCCCUGGGGGGGUUCCCUUGACAGCCAGCCUGGGGAGGAGGCAGGAGGCUGGGCCCCCCUUGGGGGCUCCCCAGAACUCCUCCUCUAACGUGCUUGCAGGACAGAGGCCUGUCUGCAGGAGCCGGGGGUCGCCUCUGCCCGUCUGGAAGACGCCUGGCUGGCCGCCUCUCCAGGUGCUGCCCCGCCCCCGGCCCCUCCCUCUCCCUCUCCAGCCCACUUAAGGGUCCUCCCAGACCGGCUUCCACGAACCCCCGGGGUGACGGCCUCAGCUGGUCUGGGG
This 1297-nucleotide long non-coding RNA is filed under the name Microcebus murinus (gray mouse lemur). Its description in RNAcentral is "lncRNA (ENSMICG00000048254.1)". Lineage: Eukaryota; Metazoa; Chordata; Mammalia; Primates; Cheirogaleidae. The record is from RNAcentral.